Molecule: long non-coding RNA, 200 nt
Filed under: Panax ginseng (ginseng)
Lineage: Eukaryota; Viridiplantae; Streptophyta; Magnoliopsida; Apiales; Araliaceae
Description: long non-coding RNA (PGIN_LNC003617)
Source: RNAcentral
GUUGAUGUAUGGUAUCUGGGCUAAACGAUUCCUUCAUAGAGCGGAGGUAUAUACGAACUAGCAACUCGAAACCUAGUUUGUUGGUUGUUUGUGGGAAACCACUCAGCGUACCAUAUUGAAAACUGUUAGAGACUCGAUGUGUACCAAGUAUAGAAAGUGGAUAGAUAGAGUCUAAAAGACUAAAAGUGCAGGGAUAGGAG